ACCUGGUUGGCUCAGGUGGUGGAGCGUGUGACUCUUGAUCUCAGGGUUGUAAGUUCAAGCCCCACAUUAGGUG
Molecule: transfer RNA, 73 nt
Filed under: Ailuropoda melanoleuca (giant panda)
Lineage: Eukaryota; Metazoa; Chordata; Mammalia; Carnivora; Ursidae
Rfam family: tRNA
About the family: Transfer RNA (tRNA) molecules are approximately 80 nucleotides in length. Their secondary structure includes four short double-helical elements and three loops (D, anti-codon, and T loops). Further hydrogen bonds mediate the characteristic L-shaped molecular structure. tRNAs have two regions of fundamental functional importance: the anti-codon, which is responsible for specific mRNA codon recognition, and the 3' end, to which the tRNAs corresponding amino acid is attached (by aminoacyl-tRNA synthetases). tRNAs cope with the degeneracy of the genetic code in two manners: having more than one tRNA (with a specific anti-codon) for a particular amino acid; and 'wobble' base-pairing, i.e. permitting non-standard base-pairing at the 3rd anti-codon position.
Source: Rfam by way of RNAcentral